Molecule: ribosomal RNA, 232 nt
Filed under: Pleurotheciaceae sp.
Lineage: Eukaryota; Fungi; Ascomycota; Sordariomycetes; Pleurotheciales; Pleurotheciaceae
Description: partial large subunit ribosomal RNA
Rfam family: Eukaryotic large subunit ribosomal RNA
Source: RNAcentral
ACAGCCCAGAUUUGAAAUCUGGCCCUCGGGCCCGAGUUGUAAUCUGCAGAUGAGUCUUUUGGCAGAGCGCGGUCCAAGUUCCCUGGAAUGGGACGCCACAGAGGGUGAGAGCCCCGUACGGACAUGUGCCGAGCCGUUGUAAAGCUCAUUCGACGAGUCGAGUAGUUUGGAAAUGCUGCUCUAAUCGUGGGGUAAAUCUCCCAUAAGGCUAAAUACCGGCCAGAGACCGAUA